This 403-nucleotide ribosomal RNA is filed under the name uncultured bacterium. RNAcentral describes it as "bacterial SSU rRNA". It matches the Rfam family "Bacterial small subunit ribosomal RNA", at positions 355 to 774 of the family's 1533-position model. The record is from RNAcentral.
UAGGGAAUAUUGCAAAAUGGGCGAAAGCCCGAUGCAGCAACGCCGCGUGGGCGAUGAAGGCCUUCGGGUCGUAAAGCCCUUUUUGAGGGGAUGAGGAAGGACAGUACCCUCAGAAUAAGCCCCGGCUAACUACGUGCCAGCAGCCGCGGUAAAACGUAGGAGGCGAGCGUUAUCCGGAUUUACUGGGCGUAAAGCGCGUGCAGGCGGAUUGGAGAGUUGGAUGUGAAAGCUCCCGGCUUAACUGGGAGAGGUCGUUCAAUACUUCCAGUCUUGAGUGCAGUAGAGGGAAGUGGAAUUCCGGGUGUAGUGGUGAAAUGCGUAGAUAUCCGGAGGAACACCAGUGGCGAAAGCGGCUUCCUGGACUGUAACUGACGCUCAGACGCGAAAGCUAGGGUAGCAAACG